GUCUCUUUGUAGACAUUAGAUAAAAUUGAAAUGAUAUAGAAAAGAUUAGCAUGGCCCUUAUGCACAAAUCGAAAAAUGGUUUAAGUUUUU
Non-coding RNA from Picea glauca (white spruce), 90 nucleotides. The record is from Rfam. NCBI's taxonomy places the organism in Eukaryota, Viridiplantae, Streptophyta, Pinopsida, Pinales, Pinaceae.